CCUUGUCGGGUGUUUCAUGGAUUUUUCGGCACCAGCAGUCUGGAGUUGUUUUUGAAAGAGGGUGAAAGCUCAAAGUCGCGACGCCUUCGACUUAUGGUCCCUGCUCUAUUCUCCAACUCCAAGCCCAGCCUCUCAAAGAACUCACCAAGCCUAACUCAGAGGAGUAUUCACCUGCCUGUCCACCCUCCAACAUCCCCCUCAAGUCACAGCGUAGCUUCGCCGCAGAAAAAAGGGACAACACCAACUGGAGAUUACUGGAACAAGCCCGCUCACAGCCUGCCAACCACAGAGUCUGUGGAGAAGGACUUACUCCCCCACUGUCUAGUUCAAACCACCAACUCAGGUCCUGGAAAGGAAGACCAACUGUUAAACAUCCACCAAGAGGAGCAGUUUUUAUUGAGACAACCUAUUUCAGAACAUAUGUCAUCACGGUUUAAACCUUCCAGCAAUUCAUAAGAAAUCUCAUCUCUUCUGAUCAGAUGUCAGAAUUUAACAAUAAGUGGACAAAAGCUGUGAAAAAGGAACAACUCUGUAUGGAUCGGGACUAAAGGAUGUCUUUUUAGUGGCAGUCUGCUUAUAAAAUAAAUAACAUGAAUGAAAACACUGUCAAGUUCAAUAUUGUGUUUAAUAAUAUUGUAAGUCAUAAAACGUGAAUAAACCAUAGUGUAAAAAC
This is a long non-coding RNA of Girardinichthys multiradiatus, 673 nucleotides long. RefSeq lists it as uncharacterized. Lineage: Eukaryota; Metazoa; Chordata; Actinopteri; Cyprinodontiformes; Goodeidae. The transcript is spliced from 3 exons. The record is from RefSeq and is a predicted model, not a curated record.